GACGAACGCUGGCGGCGUGCUUAACACAUGCAAGUCGAACGGUGAAGCGCCUUCCUUUUUGGUGGGUGUGGAUGAGUGGCGAACGGGUGAGUAACACGUGAGUAACCUGCCCCCUUCUUCUGGAUAACCGCAUGAAAGUGUGGCUAAUACGGGAUAUUCUGGGUCUGUCGCAUGAUGGGUCUGGGAAAGAUAUUGUUUCGGUGGGGGAUGGGCUCGCGGCCUAUCAGCUUGUUGGUGGGGUGAUGGCCUACCAGGGCGGUGACGGGUAGCCGGCCUGAGAGGGUGGACGGUCACACGGGGACUGAGACACGGCCCAGACUCCUACGGGAGGCAGCAGUGGGGAAUAUUGCACAAUGGGCGCAAGCCUGAUGCAGCGACGCCGCGUGAGGGAUGGAGGCCUUCGGGUUGUGAACCUCUUUCGCCAGUGAAGCAGGCCUGCCUCGUUUGUGGGUGGGUUGACGGUAGCUGGAUAAGAAGCGCCGGCUAACUACGUG
Molecule: ribosomal RNA, 494 nt
Filed under: uncultured bacterium
Lineage: Bacteria
Description: partial 16S ribosomal RNA
Rfam family: Bacterial small subunit ribosomal RNA
Source: RNAcentral